GUGCAGCAGGCGCGAAAACUCUGCAAUGUGCGAAAGCACGACAGGGGAACUCCGAGUGUCCGUACCUAGUACGGACUGUUCAGAUGCCUAAAAAGCAUCUGGAGUAAGGGCUGGGUAAGACGGGUGCCAGCCGCCGCGGUAAUACCCGCAGCCCGAGUGGUGGCCACUUUUAUUGGGUCUAAAGGGUCCGUAGCCGGUCUAGCAAGUCUUUUGGGAAAUCUGGCCGCUCAACGGUCAGGCUUCUAAGAGAUACUACUAGGCUUGGGAUCGGGUGAGGCAAGGGGUACUCCAGGUGUAGCGGUGAAAUGCUGUGAUCCCUGGGGGACCACCAGCGGCGAAGGCGCCUUGCCAGAACGAGUCCGACGGUGAGGGACGAAAGCUAGGGGCGCAAACGGGAUUAGAUAUGAAGUUGAGUUUUUACCAGCUUCACUAGAAACCCCGGUAGUCC
This 448-nucleotide ribosomal RNA is filed under the name uncultured archaeon. Its description in RNAcentral is "partial 16S ribosomal RNA". It matches the Rfam family "Archaeal small subunit ribosomal RNA", at positions 330 to 747 of the family's 1478-position model. The record is from RNAcentral.